UUUUAAAAUCCUCAGGCAAGCACAGUAUCCUUGUAAUUUCCUCCGGAUCCACCAGGGGGCACUCACAGGAGCAACGAGUCCAGAGUACAGUUAGUCAACCAGGAAGCCGAAGGGAAGUGAUGUCAUCAAGAUUCUCAUAGUGAAGGCGGAAGCUGGACGCCACCAUUGUUCCCCAGAGGGAGGGGGGGCCUCAAACCCUCCCUCCUAAAUUUCUCCAUCACCUCUUCUCUCCAGAGCUCCACAAAACCGGCGUCCUAUAGACCAUUGUCUCUACAUCUUGGCAAGUCGGGGAACUGGGACGUUGUCACCUACCUCACAAACCACAGAACGUCCCAUCUCACUAAAUGAAGAAGGAAAUUCAAAUCCCUACGAAGACGUGUGUCCGGCGGACUGCCAAAAUCUGCUUUUACCGGCGUCAGUUUUUGCGAUGUCAGUUCAGCUUUGGAGCAGUUGCCCCGUUGGUCUUCUCCAACAGCUCACGACAAUCCUGGAGUUCACCUGCAGUUCAACGCACGUAGCGACGUGCAACAAACUCCAAGCAGACAUUGGCAAGGUGUCCAAAAGGGGAUAUGACAAUUCAGCGAGGACUAGAAACUCUGAUAGUGUUUGGAAGAAGAUGAAUGAAUAUAUAAAUAACAGCAUGUACAGUCUUCCAACUCUCUGUUGAACCCAAUAAGGAAAUAUAAUAUUUGACUGAAGGCAUAGAAAAACUGCUGGUGCUUCAGGGACCACUUAAGGCUCAUAUAGAAGCAAGAAGACAGGAAUAAUUAAUGGUUCUGUAUAAAACCAGAGAAGCUAAUUCUCUUAGGCACAUAUUUCCAGCCUUUAAGCCUUAUAAUCCUGGAUAUAAACAUACUAUCCAACAAAGUGUUUUAAUCAUGGCUCUCGUAAAGCCAUUUUUCCUAUACAGAUUCAUUUUAUGGGCAACCUUAGAUUCGGUUCAAGCUCUUGCUGGAAUUAUUACUGCAAAUUCAAAGCCCUUUUAGAGAGUGUGUGAUCUGAUAUGAGAAGCAGCAUCUCUGGGGACAGGGGAAAAACCGAAUUAUAUG
Ahaetulla prasina is the source of this 1049-nucleotide long non-coding RNA. RefSeq lists it as uncharacterized. The record is from RefSeq and is a predicted model, not a curated record. Lineage: Eukaryota; Metazoa; Chordata; Lepidosauria; Squamata; Colubridae. The transcript is spliced from 4 exons.